UCAAAAACAUGUCCUAUUGAUAAUAAUUUUAGGUUUGACCUGCCCCCUGAUAAGUAUUAAAUGGCCGCGGUAUUUUGACCGUGCUAAGGUAGCAUAAUCAUUAGUUUUUUAAUUGAAAGCUAGAAUGAAUGGUUGGAUGAAAAAAAUUCUGUCUCUAUUUAAUUUUAAUUAUAAUUUUAUUUUUUAGUAAAAAAGCUAAAAUUUUUUUAGAAGACGAGAAGACCCUAUAGAGUUUAAUAUUUAUAAUAUUAAAAUUUAUUAGAAUUAAAUUUUUUUUUAUUUUAUAAUAUUUAAUUGGGGUGAUUGAAAAAUUAAAUUAACUUUUUUUAUUUAAUAUACAUUGAUUUAUGAAUAAUUGAUCCAUAUUUUAUGAUUAAAAGAUUAAAUUACCUUAGGGAUAACAGCGUAAUGUUUUCAAAGAGUUCUAAUCGAAGAAAAAGAUUGCGACCUCGAUGUUGGAUUAAAAUUUACUUUAGGUGCAGAAGCUUAAAAGUUGGGUCUGUUCGACCUUUAAAAUUUUACAUGAUCUGA
This 531-nucleotide ribosomal RNA is filed under the name Bruchidius antennatus. RNAcentral's name for it is "partial 16S ribosomal RNA". It matches the Rfam family "Bacterial large subunit ribosomal RNA", at positions 1807 to 2608 of the family's 2925-position model. The record is from RNAcentral. Lineage: Eukaryota; Metazoa; Arthropoda; Insecta; Coleoptera; Chrysomelidae.